GACGAACGCUGGCGGCGUGCUUAACACAUGCAAGUCGAACGGAAAGGCCCUGCUUUUGUGGGGUGCUCGAGUGGCGAACGGGUGAGUAACACGUGAGUAACCUGCCCUUGACUUUGGGAUAACUUCAGGAAACUGGGGCUAAUACCGGAUAGGAGCUCCUGCUGCAUGGUGGGGGUUGGAACGUUUCGGCGGUUGGGGAUGGACUCGCGGCUUAUCAGCUUGUUGGUGGGGUAGUGGCUUACCAAGGCUUUGACGGGUAGCCGGCCUGAGAGGGUGACCGGCCACAUUGGGACUGAGAUACGGCCCAGACGCCUACGGGAGGCAGCAGUGGGGAAUAUUGCACAAUGGGCGGAAGCCUGAUGCAGCAACGCCGCGUGCGAUGACGGCUUUCGGGGUGUAAACCGCUUUCGCCUGUGACGAAGCGGGAGUGACGGUAAUGGGUAAAGAAGCACCGGCUAACUACGUG
Molecule: ribosomal RNA, 466 nt
Filed under: uncultured bacterium
Lineage: Bacteria
Description: partial 16S ribosomal RNA
Rfam family: Bacterial small subunit ribosomal RNA
Source: RNAcentral